RNAcentral lists this long non-coding RNA (199 nucleotides) under Vigna radiata. RNAcentral describes it as "long non-coding RNA (VRAD_LNC007304)". The record is from RNAcentral. Lineage: Eukaryota; Viridiplantae; Streptophyta; Magnoliopsida; Fabales; Fabaceae.
UUACACAGAAAACAAUGUAUAAUUAAUGAUAUGAUAAUAUGAAAAGUAUCUUAAAGAUUUGAUAAAACUACAAAUAUCGAACUAGUGGAAAGUAUACCUUGAAGAUUUGAUAAAACUUUUCAAAAAUAUACUAGUUGAACCGUUAAGAGAUAAUAAAAUUUGUUUUAAUGAAACAAACUUUCUUUAAAAUGAAACAAAA